RNAcentral lists this ribosomal RNA (253 nucleotides) under uncultured bacterium. Its description in RNAcentral is "partial 16S ribosomal RNA". It matches the Rfam family "Bacterial small subunit ribosomal RNA", at positions 524 to 776 of the family's 1533-position model. The record is from RNAcentral.
UACGUAGGGUGCAAGCGUUGUCCGGAAUUAUUGGGCGUAAAGGGCUUGUAGGCGGUUUGUCGCGUCUGCUGUGAAAUUUCGGGGCUCAACCCCGAACUUGCAGUGGAUACGGGCAGACUAGAGUGUGGUAGGGGAGACUGGAAUUCCUGGUGUAGCGGUGAAAUGCGCAGAUAUCAGGAGGAACACCGAUGGCGAAGGCAGGUCUCUGGGCCGGUACUGACGCUGAGAAGCGAAAGCGUGGGGAGCGAACAGG